Molecule: ribosomal RNA, 237 nt
Filed under: Limosilactobacillus reuteri
Lineage: Bacteria; Bacillati; Bacillota; Bacilli; Lactobacillales; Lactobacillaceae
Also listed under: 1 other name
Description: partial 16S ribosomal RNA
Rfam family: Bacterial small subunit ribosomal RNA
Source: RNAcentral
UUUGGAAACAGAUGCUAAUACCGCAUAACAACAAAAGCCACAUGGCUUUUGUUUGAAAGAUGGCUUUGGCUAUCACUCUGGGAUGGACCUGCGGUGCAUUAGCUAGUUGGUAAGGUAAUGGCUUACCAAGGCGAUGAUGCAUAGCCGAGUUGAGAGACUGAUCGGCCACAAUGGAACUGAGACACGGUCCAUACUCCUACGGGAGGCAGCAGUAGGGAAUCUUCCACAAUGGGCGCA